GAUGUGGUCUAGUGGUUAGGAUACCCGCCUCUCAUCUACCGAGAGACUUCCCCAGAACGCGGGUGGCCGGGGUUCGAUGUACGUUGCGCCCCAUCCCAACAUCUCCC
Molecule: transfer RNA, 107 nt
Filed under: Alectoria sarmentosa
Lineage: Eukaryota; Fungi; Ascomycota; Lecanoromycetes; Lecanorales; Parmeliaceae
Description: tRNA-Glu
Source: RNAcentral